RNAcentral lists this ribosomal RNA (497 nucleotides) under uncultured bacterium. RNAcentral describes it as "partial 16S ribosomal RNA". It matches the Rfam family "Bacterial small subunit ribosomal RNA", at positions 28 to 507 of the family's 1533-position model. The record is from RNAcentral.
GAUGAACGCUGGCGGCGUGCCUAAUACAUGCAAGUCGAGCGAACGGACGAGAAGCUUGCUUCUCUGAUGUUAUCGGCGGACGGGAGAGUAACACGUGGAUAACCUACCUAUAAGACUGGGAUAACUUCGGGAAACCGUAGCUAAUACCGGAUAAUAUUUUGAACCGCAUGGUUCAAACGUUAAAGACGGUCUUGCUGUCACUUAUAGAUGGAUCCGCCCUGCAUUAGCUAGUUGGUAAGGUAACUGCUUAGCAAGGCAACGAUGCAUAGCCGACCUGAGAGGGUGAUCGGACACACGGGAACUGAGACACGGUCCAGACUCCGACGGGAGGAAGCAGUAGGGAAUCUUCCGCAAUGGGCGAGAGCCUGACGGAGCAACGCCGCGUGAGUGAUGAAGGUCUUCGGAUCGUAAAACGCUGUUAUUAGGGAAGAACAUAUGUGUAAGUAACUGUGCACAUCUUGACGGUACCUAAUCAGAAAGCCACGGCUAACUACGUG